Molecule: ribosomal RNA, 477 nt
Filed under: uncultured bacterium
Lineage: Bacteria
Description: partial 16S ribosomal RNA
Rfam family: Bacterial small subunit ribosomal RNA
Source: RNAcentral
GAUUAACGCUGGCGGCGUGCAUAACACAUGCGAGUCGAACGAUGAAACUUUAAUGAACCCUUCGGGGAGAAUUAAAGCGGAUUAGUGGCGAACGGGUGAGUAACGCGUGAGUAACCUGCCUUACACAAGGGGAUAGCCUUUGGAAACGAAGAAUAAUACCCUAUAAAACCAUAAAAGCACAUGCAAUUAUGGUCAAAGUGAUAGCGGUGUAAGAUGGACUUGCGUCUGAUUAGCUAGUUGGUGAGAUAAAAGCCCACCAAGGCAACGACCAGUAGCCGGCUUGAGAGAGUGUACGGCCACAUUGGGACUGAGACACGGCCCAGACUCCUACGGGAGGCAGCAGUGGGGAAUUUUGCACAAUGGGGGAAACCCUGAUGCAGCGACGCCGCGUGAUUUAGAAGGCCUUCGGGUUGUAAAAAUCUUUUGUAUAGGAAGAAAAUGACAGUACUAUACGAAUAAGGUCCGGCUAAUUACGUG